GAUCCUGGCUCAGGAUGAACGCUGGCGGCGUGCUUAACACAUGCAAGUCGAGCGAAGCAGUUAAGAAGAUUCUUCGGAUGAUUCUUGACUGACUGAGCGGGCGGACGGGUGAGGUAACGCGUGGGUGACCUGCCCCAUACCGGGGGAUAACAGCUGGAAACGGCUGCUAAUACCGCAUAAGCGCACAGAGCUGCAUGGCUCGGUGUGAAAAACUCCGGUGGUAUGGGAUGGG
Molecule: ribosomal RNA, 232 nt
Filed under: uncultured bacterium
Lineage: Bacteria
Description: partial 16S ribosomal RNA
Rfam family: Bacterial small subunit ribosomal RNA
Source: RNAcentral